UACGGAGGGUCCGAGCGUUAAUCGGAAUGACUGGGCGUAAAGCGCGCGUAGGUGGUUUGAUAAGUUGGAUGUGAAAGCCCUGGGCUUAACCUGGGAACUGCAUCCAAAACUGCCAGACUAGAGUACGGUAGAGGGGAGUAGAAUUUUCGGUGUAGCGGUGAAAUGCGUAGAUAUCGGAAGGAAUACCAGUGGCGAAGGCGGCUCCCUGGACUGAUACUGACACUGAGGUGCGAAAGCGUGGGUAGCGAACAGG
Molecule: ribosomal RNA, 253 nt
Filed under: uncultured bacterium
Lineage: Bacteria
Description: partial 16S ribosomal RNA
Rfam family: Bacterial small subunit ribosomal RNA
Source: RNAcentral